RNAcentral lists this ribosomal RNA (253 nucleotides) under uncultured bacterium. RNAcentral describes it as "partial 16S ribosomal RNA". It matches the Rfam family "Bacterial small subunit ribosomal RNA", at positions 524 to 776 of the family's 1533-position model. The record is from RNAcentral.
UACGUAGGUGGCAAGCGUUGUCCGGAUUUACUGGGCGUAAAGAGCGCGCAGGCGGUCGUUCAAGUCGCGUGUGAAAGCCCCCGGCUCAACUGGGGAGGGUCACGCGAUACUGAUCGACUGGAAGGCAGGAGAGGGUAGUGGAAUUCCCGGUGUAGUGGUGAAAUGCGUAGAUAUCAGGAGGAACACCGGUGGCGAAGGCGGAUCUCUGGGCCAUUACUGACGCUGAGGAGCGAAAGCGUGGGGAGCGAACAGG